AACUAAGAAGAAGAAGAAAAAAAAAGGGGAAAGAGAAGGAAUUCUUGAAGGUGAAGAAGCAGCUUACGACGGGGAAGGUGAUCCCGAAGGCAAUCAAGAUGAAGUUUUAGAGCCGUGGUUCACUUGAAAACUUGGACUAGUAGUUUGUUUUUGUGUUCUCUCUUCUUUUACCUUUUGGUUUGACAAUGUUUGUAAACCUCUAGUGGAACUCAAAUCAGUUAUCUAUGUUAUAACUCUGCUUGUAUGUGUAUAUUAACAUAUUGUGGUUAUCUCU
This is a non-coding RNA of Camellia sinensis, 274 nucleotides long. Lineage: Eukaryota; Viridiplantae; Streptophyta; Magnoliopsida; Ericales; Theaceae. The record is from RefSeq and is a predicted model, not a curated record.